GUUUUUGAUUUUCUCCAAGCAGCAGUUCUUCUGUAUUGUUCUUCCCCCCCCCCCCCCACCCCUCCACCUCUCCCCAACCCUCCCCCCACAGACCCCCCACCCACCACCCAAAAAAACAAAAAAAACAAAAACAAAAAAAACACAGUUCAUUCAUUUUAAUACUAAGUUCUCCAUUUGUUCAAAUACUACUGUUCUUUUAAAAGUUAAUUCCUUUGAAUACUAGGUUAAUAAUUUGUUUCAUCUGCUAUUGUUCUUUUCUUUGGAAAAGUUUGUUCCUAUUAAUACUAAAUUCAUAAUUUGUUUUAUCUGCUACUGUUCUUUUUAUUGGAAAAAAGUUUAGUAGCUGUAUUUGUAAGUCGUUCUUUUUUCUUGUCAAUUAACUAACUUAUUUUUUUCUUGAGAAUACUUUGCAGGUUGUAUCGCUUCAGCAUUUUAUGAAGAUGCCUCGUAAAGGUAGGAGAUCCAGGGCUCAAAAAGUUCGCUGGACAAAGUUAGACCUGACAGGACAGACGAGCGUCAGUAAAGGUGAUGCUCGGGUUUCUGAUGGACAGCAGUACGAAGAUGGUGACAGCACAUCUAGAAUUAUAUCCGUGCAGGCGUCUCAUUGCCAGAGUGAUGCAAGGUAUGAUGUUUUCUCACGAAAUCAUCAGUGCACAUGUGUAGCUCUGACAUUCCUUGCGUACCACAGUGAGGGAACUUUGUUCGAACAGCCUGAUCUUGACAGAGUGCUAGAGGAAGGGGAUGCUUUGUAUGUCGGCAUUAAAAUGCAGCUUAUUGCUGAAGGAAGAUUCCGACAGGAUCUUCUAAGCAUGGGUGAAGUACCUGUGUGCAUUACAACUUCUAACCACAACUACAGUGUCCAAAAGUCAGAAGUUGUGAUGGGAUAUCUGAGAGACAGAGGAACUUCUGAAAUGGACACAUGGUGGAUUCCUCUUGAUGAAAGACUUCAGUGUCUCUCAACAGAUGUCAGCCAUGCACUGCUUAUUGUUUCUCCAGAGUGCUUUGCUGUGUUCAGAGACAGUUCUGGAAGAUAUGGAUUUUUUGAUUCACAUUCCAGAACUGCUGAAGGUUUGCCACAUCCUACUGGUGAUGGAACUGCAGUUAUGCUAACUUUCACCAACCUGCAUGACAUGACCAACAGACUACUUGAGCUUUUUUGGAAUCGUGGUCCUCAAACUUGCUAUGAAUUCAUGGCUGUUUCAUUUGAAAGGCAGCAACAGUCUGACAAACCAUGCUCCUCAUCAGCUUGUGUGUCACAAAAAACUUUAUCUCUCCCAAAACCAGCAAAUGUUGGCAUCAAAAUUCCUGAAAAUCUUGUCUUUGCAGAAGACAAAAUACAAGAUGUCACAAAGAUUAUUAAAAGAAGCAAACCACAAAGAAGAAAAGAAAUGCGCAAAAUUGCUGAUCAAAAGCAAUGUUUAGAGCUCAAGGAUAUGACUCAAAAUUUUUAUGUCCAACACAAAAAAUACAUGACCAAGAGGUACAACACCGAUGCUCUCUUCCAGACGAAGAAGAAAGAGUACAUGACCAAGAGGUACAACACCGAUGUUGUUUUUCAGAGAAAAAAGAAGGACUACAUGAUCAGGAGGUACAAGAUGGAUGAUCUUUACCAGAGGAAAAUGAAAGACUACAUGGCCAGAAGAUAUGCAAGUGAUUCAGAGUUUAGGUCACACCACAUUCUGCUUUGUACUCUCCUCAAGAAACAGAAGUCUCUCACAGAUGCUGGAUUUCACAUUCUUUUUAAGUUGCGAAAUGCAUUAAAGAUCAAAAGAAAAUACAAGACAUACAUUAGUUUCAGCCAGGACACACCCAAUUCUGAUGCGACAAACCAGCCUGUGUCUAACAGCAUAAUGCAAAAGGCCAUAUCUGCAUUUCGGUGUCAAAUUCUACAUGGUCCAACUUACAUCUGCACAGUCUGUCACAGGACUCUGUUUCCAAAUCCUGUUUCUUGCUUAACCGGGAAAUAUGUUCAUGCUUGUGACAGUGCCUGCUCAGAUUCUUGUCCAGUACCAGAAGAGAGAAGACAGGAGUGGAUCUGCCACACUUGUGACAGUCAUCUGAAGAGAGGAUCCAUGCCUUCUAUUGCAGUGGCAAACAGACUUGAAUUGCCUCCAAUCCCUGCAGAACUGCUUGAAUUAAAUGUACUUGAACGACAGCUUAUCGCCAAAAUUGUUCCUUUUGCAAAAAUAGUUGCAUUGCCCAAAGGACAGCAACGAUCAGUGUAUGGUGCUGUUGUGUGUGUGCCCUCUGAGGUGAAGAAAACAGUCAACUGUCUGCCAAGGCCUAACAGUGAGUCCCAGCUACUACAGGUGAAGCUGAAAAGACACAUCAAGUUCCGAGGAUACCAACACUUCCAUACAGUGAAUAUGCACAAUGUGCUAGCAGCGUUAGAAAAACUGAAAGCGAUGCAUUCAGAAUACAGAGACAUCUUGAUAAGUGACGCUGCCACAUUUGAAUUUCUCCCUGAU
Cyprinus carpio (common carp) is the source of this 2468-nucleotide long non-coding RNA. The record is from Ensembl. Lineage: Eukaryota; Metazoa; Chordata; Actinopteri; Cypriniformes; Cyprinidae.